This 132-nucleotide non-coding RNA is filed under the name Candidatus Nitrotoga arctica. Lineage: Bacteria; Pseudomonadati; Pseudomonadota; Betaproteobacteria; Nitrosomonadales; Gallionellaceae. The record is from RNAcentral.
CCAUCAGUGUCACCUGAUAAAUCUAAGAGCCUGAAUAAAGAGCGGCCUCGACAAUGCAGCGAAAUGCCGCAAGGUGUGGGGUAUCAAUCAUGAGAGGCGUACCCUUCUGGUAGUUACAUGCCGGGUCAGCGC